UUUAGAGCUAGUAAAGUUAAAGACGGAGAUCCCUUUGCCCAACUGAUGCAGAAAUUGAGAACACGACAAAGUCUAAGCUUCAUGGCUGUUGUAGCAUCAACAUGGUUUUGUUGCAGCCAGCUAGUGGGAAAGGUAUGAUGGAGUCAAAUUGAGCUGCAGCUGCUGCAUGCAGUUUAUUGUGCUGUUGUUAUCCCCUAUUGUCACAACAGAAAGACUUCUUGAAUUGCAACCCCUUUUAGGUGGGCCUCUUUUUUAGGUGGCUGUGAAUAAGUGGCUGUAUGAUGUCCACCAGGUAGCGCCAGUGUCUUCAGGGACGCUUAGCGGCCGUUUUGAUCCAAGACGCAGCAGAAGUUGGUUGUGACGUUUCUCACGAUGAAAAUUAAAAGGUCAUUUAGAACGUAGAAACCAAUUUGCCAAAUCAUUCAACUCAGAAUUGGGAAGUGCCUGUACAUUUCCGAAAUGGCGUGCCUCGUGUGUCUCGUUGCCUGUUCAUUGGCUUACGUCUCACCCCAUUCAACAGGAAAAGUAAAACAAAUGCUGGUGGUUACCUUGUUGCAGCCAAAUGGUGAAAGAUGUGACAAAGACAGAUUGAACCAUUGUAUGCAGCAUGCAGUUGCAGUGUAAUCCAGAAGUUGCUGUGCUGUUGUAGCUGAGCUGUGGCAUCUGGGUUCCUGACUUAAACAUGUUUGUGUUUUCAUCCAUGCCAUAUGAAAUUGCUUUGCCAUUGAUAUUUUGUGUUGCUGUGUUAAAAGUUUGAUCUGUUGUCUUUUGAGUUUCAUUCAAUCAUGCAGUAUAUGACUGAGGCGACCUGAUCAAUGUCAGGUUUGAAACAGUUGAGAACUGCUAGAUAAAACAAGCUUUCUGCACCAAACAAAUAAUAACUUGCAUCUAACUUGCAUCGUGUUAUUAUCGCGGUAGAGAAAGCGACAGGCCCCCCCCCCCUGGGGGUCACAGGAAAAAUGUAUAUGUAUAUGAAUAUUAUAAAAAUAAAAUUUUGCAUGCAAUAAAA
Long non-coding RNA from Daphnia pulicaria, 1009 nucleotides. RefSeq lists it as uncharacterized. The transcript has 5 exons. The record is from RefSeq and is a predicted model, not a curated record. NCBI's taxonomy places the organism in Eukaryota, Metazoa, Arthropoda, Branchiopoda, Diplostraca, Daphniidae.